Non-coding RNA from Oncorhynchus mykiss (rainbow trout), 538 nucleotides. The record is from the annotation of a RefSeq genome assembly. Lineage: Eukaryota; Metazoa; Chordata; Actinopteri; Salmoniformes; Salmonidae.
UCUCCCUCAGUCACGACGACCACUCCCAGUCUGUGCUUCUUUUACAGAAGUUUAGAUCUGUCCCACAAUGAGAGUUCUAGAAUGCAUGUUCCUCCUGGCUCUCAUCUCAGCUGUUCAGGGGCAGUCACUCACCUCCUCUGAGCCAGUAGUGAAGAAACCUGGAGAGUCAGUAAUACUGUCAUGUACUGUGUCUGGACUACCCCUGAGCUGGUUACACUGGAUCCGUCAGAAACCUGGGAAAGGUCUAGAGUGGAUUGGGCGCAUUGACAGUGGCACUGGCACUAUAUUUGCCCAAUCUCUACAAGGUCAGUUCACCAUCACCAAAGACCGCUCCAAAAACCAGCUGUACCUCGAGGUAAAAAGCCUGAAGACCAAAGACUCUGCUGUUUAUUAUUGUGCCAGAGACACAGUCAGUGGUUCCUUGUCCCCACGACACCCCUCUGACCCCCUGGACGUCAAGGGAGCUCCCGCCUAUGCAGUCAGAUCCCUACAGGACUCCCAAUGUUGUGGGGGUUGGCUGCAGUACCUUGUGGACUAG